This 467-nucleotide ribosomal RNA is filed under the name uncultured bacterium. RNAcentral's name for it is "bacterial SSU rRNA". It matches the Rfam family "Bacterial small subunit ribosomal RNA", at positions 28 to 491 of the family's 1533-position model. The record is from RNAcentral.
GAUGAACGCUAGCGGCAGGCUUAACACAUGCAAGUCGAGGGGCAGCACGGGUAGCAAUACCUGGUGGCGACCGGCGCAAGGGUGCGUAACGCGUGAGCAACAUGCCCUAUACAGGGGGAUAAUCCAGGGAAACUUGGUCUAAUAUCCCAUAGUAUUUAGAGGAGGCAUCUUCUAUAAAUUAAAGCUUCGGUGGUAUAGGAUUGGCUCGCGUGACAUUAGCUAGAUGGUGAGGUAACGGCUCACCAUGGCAAUGAUGUCUAGGGGUUCUGAGAGGAAGGCCCCCCACACUGGGACUGAGACACGGCCCAGACUCCUACGGGAGGCAGCAGUGAGGAAUAUUGGACAAUGGAUGGAAAUCUGAUCCAGCCAUGCCGCGUGCAGGAAGACAGCCCUAUGGGUUGUAAACUGCUUUUAUAUGGAGCAAUAAGGUCUACGUGUAGACUGAUGAGAGUACCAUAUGAAUAAGC